GUGGGACUCCACAUACUAGCCCAACUCAAGCAGGGGAAGGAGAGGAAUACCAACUGAGCCAAUCAUUCCGGGGGACAGCAAGUGGGCUGCCAGCCAGCCUUCCUUGUGCGGCUGGGCCUGGGAACCCUGUGGGAUGUACACAGCUCAGGCUGGAGCUGGCUCUUCCUGAGACUCUGCUUCACCCCAUCUCCUGUUCUCUCUCUCCACUAGAAGAGGACCUAUUCCAUCAUUAGUGCAAUUCUGCAGCCCCACCCUGACCCACCUGAGACCUUGAAGGAGGAACUCGGCUAUACUCUCACUCCAGGAUUCCCUGAGCUCCACCUAAUGCUUGACUGUGGAUCUCUGAGACUGAAUCAACAAUCAGUACAAUACACCUGUCUACAGGUCAUGUUCAUGAGGCUGACAAAGACACUGAAAACUCUCCUGAGGUCACCAAUGCUGCCAAUCCAAGAAAGCAUUCAGGAUGUCACCACGGCCCUCCACAGCUGUAUCUCAGAUGAUACCCACCACAUUUGAUAUCUUUAAAUGGUUCCAAAGUCUAGC
RNAcentral lists this long non-coding RNA (543 nucleotides) under Cricetulus griseus (Chinese hamster). RNAcentral's name for it is "lncRNA (ENSCGRG00015040407.1)". The record is from RNAcentral. Lineage: Eukaryota; Metazoa; Chordata; Mammalia; Rodentia; Cricetidae.